GAAGUGCGAUAAGCAAUGCGAAUUGCAGAACCGUGAGUCAUCAGAUUUUUGAACGCAACUGGCGCUGAAUGGAAACCCAUUCAGCAUGCUUGUUUCAGUGUCUUUUUUUCUCAUCACCCAGAUCAUAAUGCGAGAGAUACCCUUCUCUUGUUAAACAUGAAAGCACUCUGCGCUCUGCGAGCGGCUUCGACUUGUUCGAUGGUCGCACUCAAUGCAGCAGUCACAUUGCUCACAAUGUGAACUCAUUGAGAGCCGAGGCAGUGCGGCGAAAGCUGCCAGUGCUUAGUCACUCAAACUUUACUUGCAUCUGAAAUCAAGCAGGAUCACCCGCUGAACUUAA
Molecule: unclassified non-coding RNA, 340 nt
Filed under: uncultured fungus
Lineage: Eukaryota; Fungi
Description: sequence contains ITS1
Rfam family: 5.8S ribosomal RNA (bases 1-103)
Source: RNAcentral